Molecule: ribosomal RNA, 457 nt
Filed under: Delftia sp. iEAIC92
Lineage: Bacteria; Pseudomonadati; Pseudomonadota; Betaproteobacteria; Burkholderiales; Comamonadaceae
Description: bacterial SSU rRNA
Rfam family: Bacterial small subunit ribosomal RNA
Source: RNAcentral
AGAGUUUGAUCCUGGCUCAGAUUGAACGCUGGCGGCAUGCCUUACACAUGCAAGUCGAACGGUAACAGGUCUUCGGACGCUGACGAGUGGCGAACGGGUGAGUAAUACAUCGGAACGUGCCCAGUCGUGGGGGAUAACUACUCGAAAGAGUAGCUAAUACCGCAUACGAUCUGAGGAUGAAAGCGGGGGACCUUCGGGCCUCGCGCGAUUGGAGCGGCCGAUGGCAGAUUAGGUAGUUGGUGGGAUAAAAGCUUACCAAGCCGACGAUCUGUAGCUGGUCUGAGAGGACGACCAGCCACACUGGGACUGAGACACGGCCCAGACUCCUACGGGAGGCAGCAGUGGGGAAUUUUGGACAAUGGGCGAAAGCCUGAUCCAGCAAUGCCGCGUGCAGGAUGAAGGCCUUCGGGUUGUAAACUGCUUUUGUACGGAACGAAAAAGCUCCUUCUAAUUCUUU